Molecule: long non-coding RNA, 5241 nt
Filed under: Theobroma cacao (cacao)
Lineage: Eukaryota; Viridiplantae; Streptophyta; Magnoliopsida; Malvales; Malvaceae
Description: long non-coding RNA (TCAC_LNC000364)
Source: RNAcentral
GACAACAUGUGCCGAUGAACACACACUAGGUCGAACACUAUCUGCAAAAGGGAAAUAAAGGGGUGACUCUCACAGACUCAGUAAUCAUCGGCUCCGUGAGUAGGAAGUAGAUGGGAAACAAGCUUAAGGCAGAUCAUUUGAAUGAUAAAUCCGAAAUAAAAGUAAUAAUCUUAGAAAAAUUAAAUCUCAAAUAGAGUGUUUUGCCUUGUAAAAAUGAUGCCGUAAAAUCAUCGUGCAAUAUUUCACUUGGCAAAACGAUGCUGAAAACAAGUGUAGCGAAACCAAGUUCAAUCAUAGCAAACAUCACUUACGAUCAAAAUACGAGAAACGGUAUAAAAAUAUGCACGUUCCCAAGUUGUGUGGCACGUAAAGAAAUCAAUUUAUAAAGCCACAUAAACCAGCUCAUGAUUGACAAGUAAGCACUGAAAGCUUUUAUUCAAAUAAAGGGAGCUACAUAGAAAAACCUUAACUCUCCACCAUGCAAAAGAGUACGCGUCGAAAAACUCACAAGGCUCUCGAGUAGGAAAGUAUAAUAUCAACACACGGACCCACUUCCACGUAAUAACAAUCCGGGAACACUGCUUCCACCGGAUUCCCACAUGUCAUGGCAGUCUCGAUGAUGUUGGCCGACAUCGGAGAAUCAAGUGGUCACAACCGUGAAUAUCACUUGUGGCCUAGCCAUAUAUAACAACCCGUGGCCUUGCCACGUAUAUCAUAGACCAUGGCCCCAGCCAUGUCUAUCAGCUUAUCAGUGACUCAAAGGUUCUCUAGCUAAAGCUCACUUGUGCACAAGAGUACACUUAACUAAAGUGACAUUUGACCUAAUCUCAACACUCUCGGUUUGUCAAAAUUGUUUUCAAAACCAAAUCAAGUUUUUCAAGACUUUUUCUUUUAAAUCUUUUGAAAUCAAGGUUUGAUAACCGGUCAAAUUGCAUUUCUCAUUAAUUGGAAUGGUGUAAACACGUGUACAAAGGUCGAAAUAAAACCGGUGCUCAAAACUUGUAUUUAAAUCAUUUUAACAAAUGCAUUUAGCUUUGCAGAUCACACAAAAAUACAAGGCACGAAUUUUGAUGAAAACAUCAUAAAAAGGCUUGUUUCUCUGUUUCUAAAACACUUUACAUAUAUAGAUUAUCUAUAGGCAUAUCCAAACCAACUUUCAAAACAACUUGCAUCCACAAAAUACCUAGGAUUCUACCAACUCAUGCUUUCCACAAAUUUUGCAUUUAAAAUAAAUCAUCACAUAUAUAUAUUAUGGAAAUUUGGAAAUCGACACCCCCUACUCACCUUACAAUAGCAGGACGACACUUUAUCGUUAUUGAUUCGAGUGUGUAUCUAGCUAUUUCUACUUGCCGGUCACCCGUUACCUCGUCCGGCAUGCCACCACGGUAAACUUUUCUAGCAAUAAAUUAAACUCAAUAUAUUUAAUGUAUAUCAUUUCCACUUCUCUUUCUCAUUCAAUCAUAAAUCCUCAUUCUAUUAACUUGCAUCUUAACACGUUUUUGCUAAGGUUAUUCAUAUCCUUUGUUUGUGUAAUUCUUUAGAUUAUAAGUACCAGCAACUUAUUCAUAACUUUAGCACACAAUUUAAUCUUUUCCAAUGAUAUUUAUCAAGUUUAGCUAUCAUUUUCACACCAAUAACCUCGCAUAUGGCAGCAAUUAUAAAUCUAAUUUCAUCAAGCAUUUUGCAAGUUUACAUGCACCAUAAUUCACAUUUACUUGCUGCCUCCAAGCAUAACAUCAAUAUUCAUUCAUAUGCACUAACAUUCAUAAUCUUUUAAACCUUUCACAACAACACAUAUCCACACAUUACAUUUUUUUCAAGUUUUCAACUAUCAUAAUUGCAUUUAAUCGUACCCAUGACAUCAAAAUAACACUACACAUUGCAUGCCUUACCUUUGUGGUGAAUUUGACCUUGCAUGCAACCUUAAUGCUCUUCCAAUAUUCCACUCACCAAGCUACCAACAAUUGCACAAUCAUUCCUUACGAUAUUCAUCUAACCGUAGGCUUCAAAACAUAGUGUUAAGCUUGCCGUUUUUCUUUCACCUUGAACCCAUUAUGCACCCACAAGUUUGGUGGCUUGCAUGUCACCAAUUUUUCUCUAAUCAAGCUGAUCUUUGCUGCCACUAGACAUUUCUCUUAGUCAUCAACUCAUUUUCAAGGAUUACUCAAGCUAAAAACAAAAAUCCUUACCUUUCCUUGCUUGAAUCACAAAACCGAGCUUUAUACCUCCAUUGACUCUCUAUGGCUUCUCUCUUGAGUAUUGAAGGUUCCUUGAGUGAAACAACAACAUAAAUCUACAAGAUGAGGGAGGAAAUCUCACGGUUCCUCUUGGUUUUUUGCAAAACGGAGCCUUUCCUUCCUUUCUUGCUUUUUCUUUAUUUCUUUCUCUCAUUUCCUUUCUGUUUUCUUCUUUCUUUCCUCUUGUUUCUCUUUUCUUCUUGGUUAUGGGUGGACUUCUCAAGGCCAAGCCUUGAAAAUGGCUUUCAUUUUCUCAUUUUUCUCUCCCAUGGGUGGAUUGCCCAAGGUCAUUCACCUUUUUCUCUUCUUUCCUUUUCUUGUCUCUUUAUUUUUCCUUCAUGGGUGGAUUGCCCAAAAAUUGCUCAUUUUAGCAUUUUUCCUUUUUCCUUUUAUGUGGCAAAAUUGCAAGUCAAAAGGCCUUUGAACCAUUCCACUUGUCGUUCACUUUUCAUUGUCCAUUCUUUCUUCAUUUCUUUUUCAUCUCUUAUUUACAUGCCAUGCCAUUCAAUUACCUUUCUUUGUUUUCUUUCUAUUAAAUAUUAUAUUUAUGCCUUUUCUUCUCAAAUCACAUCACCUUAUUUACUUGUUUACAUGGGCUAUCUUUGCCAAACCAUGGUUUUCUCUAAUUAAAUAUUUUUUGAUUCUUUUUCUCUUGUCAACUUUCACAUGGUGGGGUACCAUAUGUUUUGUCACGACUCGGUACUCCCCUCGAGCCCGUGACAACCUCCACGACGUCUCGGUAGACAUUCGUUACCCGAAAUGCCAACCGGAACCCCGCAAGGCUUUAGUACCUUUUUUUUUCAUCUCCCCUGUGAGUAAUCAUCGCCAAACCACGUUUUUAAAAAAUUUUAAGCUUUUUCCCUUUCAAAACCGUGAAAAAAUAAUUUUCGCCUCACAGGGGCGUUUUUGUCAUUUUUCCUUAAAAUUUUCUAAACCUGACUAAAAAUGUAGUAGAUGACUGAAAAACACAUAUUUCAUGAUUUAAAAUAGAUUUGGGCGUCUAAAACAUUUAUUAAAAAUGACAUUGCAACUAUUUAAAUAAAAUAAUAAUAUUUUAUAAAAUAUUCUAAUUGCUUGUAAAACAAUAUUUAUAGUCAUCGGUAAAUAUUUUUUGUAAUGUAAAAGCUAAAUAAAUUCAUACGUACUAUAAUACAAAUAACCGGGAUAUGAAAUUUACUUUACAGUGACUCGUGGGCCAACAAGGAACAAAAGUGCACAAAGGCAAUAAACCUACAAUUUUUGGAGUAGUAAAGCCGACUAUAAUCCUUGACGAUAUUUGCUAUCCAUAGGCUACCUCGGGCCUGAAAUGGUUAAAAAGGUGGGUGGUGAGAUUAUAAAAUCUCAGUGAGUAAACAGAUACCAUCUAAAUCAUCUAAAGUCGAGUAAGUGGAGAUAGAUAAAACAGUUUAACAUACUGAAAUUCAUCACCUUUCAACUUGUUUCAACCAAAUAAAAUCAAUUCAUAUAAAUCGAGUAAUUAACAUGGCUUAUGAAUUUCUUAAAACUUUGGCUCGUGCCAAAAAUCAUUUUUAUACCCAGUUAUCAAGGAUGCCUUGAUCGAGGGCUAUCCCAACCGAGUCCGCCAAGGCUAAUAAAAAGUCAUGUACGCAUAAAUCAUAUUUUUAUUUUGAAAACAUAGUCGUUCCUUGGCGUUGGCUGAGUUCUCCCCACGUGGUGGUUGGGUAUGAAGUGAACUCUAAAGUUUGACCUCAGGAGUUACCCUACGCGCCUCUACAAUCGAGGUGCAUAUAUAUGACCAGGUUCCAUGCCCUUAUAAUAGGUUGGUCUACAGAACCAGCCCACUGCAGCAAGCUAAACCCACUAUAUAAUAAAAAUUCAACAGCAUGAUAUGACAAUUUUUUAAUUAUCCAGCCUAUCAAGGCAAACAAUAGUUUAUACAUUUCAACACAAAUACCAAUUUAGCCAUUCAUGCCAAUAUUGUCCUAAGCCAAACAAUUAGAACCAUAUAUUCACAAUACAUCAAAUGGUCUCCAAUUACUCUAUUUUCAAAGCCAUUAUUCAAUUUCAAAACAAUUUUUUGAAAUCAUUUCAUUAAAUCACAUUUGGUUUAUAAAAUCGAAAAAUUAAUCAUUUAAUUCAUUUUCCAUGAAAUUCACAAAAUCAGAUAAAAACCACUUUAGAUAAUUAAGACGAUAGUAAGGUUACUCACAGUACUAGGAGUUCGAUAUACUUCUAUUCUCGAUCUUCAAGCACAAUCUCUUUACCCCUGUUAGAGGGCUCACCACCUAUACAUCGUAUGUGACACGAAUUUCAAUAAAUUGUGUCAAUUUAUCAUAAACUAUUUCAGGCUCUAUAAAUCUAUGUGAAUGCACGAAAUGUGAUGCAAAAUGUGUGAAUAGUCGUUUACAUACGGUAUUCGAUCUAAUUCGCACUAUUCUCGGUGUAAUUGGCUAAAACGUCCAAUUUAACUCCAAAUCUAUUUCUUUCACUUUCUACACUCCAAUUAUACUUAAAAUACCUCAAUGAAUGUGAAUAUGAUUCAAUUUAUCAGUUUGAACCAUAAAUCGCACAUGUCUAUACAUUAGGUAAAAAUUCAGAUUUUCAUGCCAAAAUUUCCCAUUAAAUUUUUAGCCUCACCAAUCAUUAAAUACCACCAAAAUAUUAUGAAAUAUCAUCAAUUUCAACCUCAAUAUCCUCCCUAGAAAAUUCGGCCUCUUGUGGGUUUGUGAAGAACAAAGUGAUUCCUAGCUAGAUUUUCAUACUUUCCAUUACCAAACAACCAAAAACACUUAAUUAGCUUGAAAUCUAGCAAAAUCAAUGCUCAAAACCUCUCCUCUCAAAUUCGGCCAGUAUGGGUUCAUCAUGCAAACUUGAGUUCUAAGCAUGGAAAAUGAAAAAGAAAGCAUGCGUAGUGUAAAUCACAAGAUAAAAUCACAGAAUCUUACCUUUAUUAGCUUAAUCCCUUGAAAUCCCACACUUUUUCUUCAAUUUUCCCACCUAGGGUUUGUGGUCUUUCCUUUCCUCUUCACUUCAUGCUUUGGCC